RNAcentral lists this ribosomal RNA (254 nucleotides) under uncultured bacterium. RNAcentral describes it as "partial 16S ribosomal RNA". It matches the Rfam family "Bacterial small subunit ribosomal RNA", at positions 524 to 776 of the family's 1533-position model. The record is from RNAcentral.
UACGUAGGGACCAAGCGUUGUUCGGAUUUACUGGGCGUAAAGGGCGCGUAGGCGGCAUGACAAGUCACUUGUGAAAUCUCCGGGCUUAACUCGGAACGGCCAAGUGAUACUGUCAAGCUAGAGUGCAGAAAGGGCAAUCGGAAUUCUUGGUGUAGCGGUGAAAUGCGUAGAUAUCAAGAGGAACACCUGAGGCGAAGGCGGGUUGCUAGGCUGACACUGACGCCGACAGCGCGAAAGCCAGGGGAGCAAACGGG